Long non-coding RNA from Varroa destructor (honeybee mite), 1178 nucleotides. RefSeq lists it as uncharacterized. NCBI's taxonomy places the organism in Eukaryota, Metazoa, Arthropoda, Arachnida, Mesostigmata, Varroidae. The record is from RefSeq and is a predicted model, not a curated record.
CAUAAUUUGAACUCAUGUGAUUGUACUAGCUUCUUGAGCUAGAUUCUCGAUUAUAAAGUUAUCUUUGUGAAAUUCUGGAUGUAUUUACUAGUACUAUGAUAGAUCGCACUGAAGUCCUUCAAGAAUAAAAAAAAACCAAGGCUAUACUGAACUAGUGCCAUUAUUUAUUAGGUCGUUAAUAUAAAAGUGACGCGGCGCCACGUCCUUUUGUGGGACUGUUUUGUAUUUGUGCACACGCCAAUUUCGCGGCUGCUUUUGUCCAACAUAGAAAACCCACGCUGAAGUCAGUGAAUCCGACCGAUGACUUCAUGAGUAUCAAGGCAGGUCUGUUUCGACCCGGAAUUUUAACUGCGCUACGAGAACAUUUUCCAUGGCGGCGAAAAGAUGACAUGCGCGGAGCCGAGAUGCAUCAAACGAUCAUCUUUCUCAACCAAUCAAUGGACUGAACAUUCAAACACGACGAUAUAGAAUUGAAAUUGGGAUUGGGACGAUAUAGAAUUUGAAGUGCAGAUUAGUUGCGGAACACGUAUCGACCGAUACUUUGGGUCGAGCUACACUGGAUCCUAAAAACCAGGUCCAGUGUUCUACGCGAAAACAGUUCUGGUUAGUUAUCGUGUAUAGCAGAACGUCUACGUUGGGGACCCCCUCGACUAUCCUCCAAAUAAGUUCCUAAUCAUAGCAAGAUCUCCGAAGAAGAAGCUGAGAAGUUCAUACGUCAUCACAUUGCUUCCAAGGGCCUAAAAUGAUUUUUCGUUGUGUGGAGCCGGCCGUAUGUGACCGCUUUAAGCGACUUCUGGAAAACUACUAUCUGCAACCUUGUUCUGUAAUACGGAAACUCAUUCGAAAGUCACUUAAAGCGUGCGUUUCGUGGGUUAAACAUUCCCCAUCGAUAAUCUCGUUCCUGGGAUAGACUACACGGUUCGUAUGACAGCAGCAAUAUCUGAGAGAUACGCGUCAGAGUGCUCCUUCGGUUGCUUCAACACGCCCACGUAUCCCAUAUACCGCGUAUACCGAAAAACGUCAGUUUUCGCUAAUGCAGUAUUACUCUAUGCUACACAGAUUGAAAGUUGUGUCUAAGAAGGCCCAACAAUAUAGUUUUAACUAACGGCCCUACUCACAGGUUCUUUGAAAUUAUGCUUCUUUGGGAACUGGGUUGGAAAGAUUUCUACAAAUGGGGA